RNA transcript from Fundulus heteroclitus (mummichog), 2138 nucleotides. It is a transcript of the gene named fibronectin type III domain containing 5a, with no coding region annotated. The transcript is spliced from 6 exons. The record is from RefSeq and is a predicted model, not a curated record. NCBI's taxonomy places the organism in Eukaryota, Metazoa, Chordata, Actinopteri, Cyprinodontiformes, Fundulidae.
UCUCUCUCGGUGGGUACACACGAAGCCAGCGCGUUUUAGUGUGCAGCUGCAGCCGAGCCCUGGCGAGCAGUAGGAGGGAUCUGACUGGUGCACAUUUGGACGCAUGUGAACGGCGCAGUCCAUGAUGAUGAAGAUGAUGAUGCUGGCUGCAGCUCUGCAGACAAUCGCGGCUGCUGAACGAGCCGUGAGGUGCUGUCCACGGUGCUGAAGGGGUCGGCGUGUUUUCCCCGCCGCUCCCCCCCACCCACCCACCCCUCUCCUCGUCAGUCCAGACUACACGCGUGAACUGACGCGGAUGCCGAGCAGCGCAACACAGCCCCAGUAAAUAAAUGGGACCGCACGUCAUCCGAGCGCUUGAGAGAUCAUGGAGAGAUUUUUCCUGCUCGUCCUCAGCGGCUGCCUCGGCGUCUCUCGAGUCACAGCGGAUAGCCUGUCGCCGCCAGUCAAUGUGACCAUCAGAGAGGUGAAAGCUAACUCUGCUGUGGUGUCAUGGGACAUCCCCGAGGGAGACCCAGUCAUUGGCUUUGCCAUCACACAGCAGAAGAAAGAUGUGCGUAUGCUGCGGUUCAUCCAGGAAGUCAACACCACCACGCGCUCCUGUGCAUUAUGGGACUUGGAGGAGGAGACAGACUACAUUGUGCAUGUCCAGUCCAUCAGCAUGUCCGGAUCGAGCCCGCUGAGCGAACCACUGCGCUUCCGAACCCCAAAGGAGGCCGAGACCCAGGCCUCUAAGAACGAAGUGACCAUGGAGGAGGUGGGUCAGUCGAGCCAGCUGAGGGCAGGAGAGCUCAUCAUCAUCGUGGUCGUACUCAUCAUGUGGGCAGGUGUGAUUGCCCUCUUCUGUCGUCAGUAUGACAUAAUCAAAGACAACGAGCCCAACAACAACAAGGACAAAGCCAAAAACUCCUCGGAGUGCAGCACUCCUGAACACCCGACGGGGGGGCUGCUGCGCAGUAAGGUAUAACCCACCCCUCUGCUCCUUCUCCUCUCCCCGGGUGCCUCCCCUCUCAGCGACGCUGGCCAGUUCCCCAAGAACGACAACAACAGGUUGCCAUCUGUCAACAUCAUUGAGGUGUGACUGCCAAUAAGUCUUCUCCUUGCUCAAAAGACGUCAUCGAAACAACGAGGCCCAUUUAAGUCUACCUGCUGUCAGGAUGACGCUGGGACCGAGGGACUCUGGGCGUCUUGGCACCGCCUUUUCUUCUUCGGCGCCGGCUGUGGUGCGGAGGUGAAGCUGCAUGGACUCCAGAAGAAGUGGAGGAAUGAGGCCGAGCUCCGCCUCGGGUUCUGUGAGAGCAGAGACUGCGGGAAGAGUUCAGCGGCGGGUCCACGCUCAGUCACGGUGCGACGUGGUGACGGUUAUUAGGGUUGUGGAGGGACUGCAGAAGAACCAACCCCCCGGGGACCAAAGCCGAUCAAACAGAGCCAGAAACCGUUAGCAAGAAAGUUUUUCAUUUAACUUUUCCGGAUGGUACCGUAAGCUUCUUUAAAACCUUAUUUUCUUCAUGGGCUUAAGCGGUACAUUUGAUGUUUUGGAAUGUGUCUCGGCCUUUUCAGUAAACCUCCUAGUGCAGAGACUCUUUGCUGUUCUGGUAGGUUUGUAUUCCCCGCUCAGGGAGUCCAGACCCAACCUGGGUAACAAAGGAGCCAUUUCCAGCACAGGCUGUCACGACACCAGAGCAGCUUUAGAGGAAUCAGUCGGCUAAAAUCACUCACAGUCAUUAACGCAUAUUUACAGCAUAGUUCUUUUAGGUCUGGCCUGUAACUCCCCUCAUCUUUUUUUAUUACAGACUUCUAAAAUGUAACAUUCCUCUCCCUGAACGAGCCCUUUAUUGCCUCCUGGUGUCUUUCUUUCUGAGUGUGAUGGAUUUUUGCGUCAUUCUCGCGAGGAGCAGAAGAACUCCCAUUAUGGAGUUCAUUCAUCUAAUUAAUUAACUAGAAAUGGGGCUGGACUCUACGGAUGUCUGAGGAGACGAGAUCCCUUCAAUCAGCAAUAACAGCCCCUCAGAGGAAAGAAAGGGAGUCCAGAUCCUCUGGAAGAAAAGGACCGUCGGCAUGUAAUAGAUGAACAAACUGGACGUUCGGUAUGCUGGAAUAAACCCUGGGCAUCAUUUUUAAGUGAUUCUCAAAAAUCUAAU